AGGCUGCCCACAAGACCUCCACAACAUUUCUUGUGUCAGAAUUCUCAUGGAAGUUAUGCUACAUCAUGACUUAGACAAAUUGAAGAGCAUCAACCAGCUCAGCACCACAAAGUGUCUCCGGGGCAGCAGCAGCAGAGGAGCUGGUUAAUAUUUACUACAACCCAAAAAUGUUGCAGUGGCUGGCUGUUUGUAAAAUAAACAGAAGAAACUGUGACAUAGCACUGGGCCAGAUGUUCCUGAUAGUAUGCUGCCAGAAGAAGAAUUCUCAUCCUUGAAGAAAGUUUUCUAAGUGGUCAUGACACUCUUGGUCAUGGUAGG
Long non-coding RNA from Lacerta agilis (Sand lizard), 318 nucleotides. RefSeq lists it as uncharacterized. The transcript is spliced from 3 exons. NCBI's taxonomy places the organism in Eukaryota, Metazoa, Chordata, Lepidosauria, Squamata, Lacertidae. The record is from RefSeq and is a predicted model, not a curated record.